AGAAAGUUAGAUCAUAAGUUCUAAGGUGAGAGCAAUGACAACCAUAUAUAUCAUAUUAGUUCCUUGUUACAGAACUUUUUUAUAUUUUUCUGUUUUAGUAACUGGAAUUCCCUGGUAGCUCAGCUGGUAAAGAAUCCUGCCACAAUGCAGAAGACCCUGGUUUGAUUCCUGGGUCAGGAAGAUCCACUGGAGAAAGGACAAGCUACCAACUCCAGUGUUCUAGGUGUCCUAGAUUUAAAGAAGGAAGAUCAGAGGGAUGAUCGUCUGGAGGUGAUCACUGAUGAUGACAAAGAGGCUGAGGAAGCAGGGGAUGGCAGAGAUGGCUUCCAUGAAGGAAGAUCAGAGGGAUGAUCGUCUGGAGGUGAUCACUGAUGAUGACAAAGAGGCUGAGGAAGCAGGGGAUGGCAGAGAUGGCUUCCAUGGCUCCCCAGGAACCAUCAGUGGAACAAGUUACUGGGAAUGUGUUGAGUCUCCUUAACUGGGGAGAGGACCCAAGGAUGUUACCAUUCAUGUUGAAGAGUGUUACCCCCGUGGAGAGCACAGACCUUAGAAGAGAUAAGAGCUCCGAAGAGCCGACAGAAAGUCCUUGUCGCAAACGUGAGAAGGAAAAUCAGAACAAGUGGAAUAUUCUAGAUUGUAAAGAAGGUAACACUUCAGUGACCUCGAGAGAGCACCUUUUGGAGCAUGGAUUAGGAUGGUAUGAGGUCAGGAUUGACUGGACAAAGAUGGAUGAGCAAUGA
This 740-nucleotide long non-coding RNA is filed under the name Bos grunniens (domestic yak). Its description in RNAcentral is "lncRNA (ENSBGRG00000015326.1)". Lineage: Eukaryota; Metazoa; Chordata; Mammalia; Artiodactyla; Bovidae. The record is from RNAcentral.